UACAGAGGGUGCAAGCGUUGUUCGGAAUUAUUGGGCGUAAAGGGUGCGUAGGCGGCGCGGUAAGUCGGGUGUGAAAUUUCGGAGCUUAACUCCGAAACUGCAUUCGAUACUGCCGUGCUUGAGGACUGGAGAGGAGACUGGAAUUUACGGUGUAGCAGUGAAAUGCGUAGAGAUCGUAAGGAAGACCAGUGGCGAAGGCGGGUCUCUGGACAGUUCCUGACGCUGAGGCACGAAGGCCAGGGGAGCAAACGGG
This 253-nucleotide ribosomal RNA is filed under the name uncultured prokaryote. RNAcentral describes it as "partial 16S ribosomal RNA". It matches the Rfam family "Bacterial small subunit ribosomal RNA", at positions 524 to 776 of the family's 1533-position model. The record is from RNAcentral.